Molecule: long non-coding RNA, 2025 nt
Organism: Brassica napus (rape)
Lineage: Eukaryota; Viridiplantae; Streptophyta; Magnoliopsida; Brassicales; Brassicaceae
Exons: 5
Source: RefSeq, a predicted model, not a curated record
UGACCCACAUGUCAUAGGUUCAAACUUCAUAAAUGUAUUCUUUUAUUUGUAAUAAAUGAAUUAUGACCCAUGUAAAAAUGAAACCUAGCUCUGCCACUGUUUAUGUUAAAGGCUGAAGUGUGAACUUUAAGGAAGAAAUUUCUAUCCAUCAUUCAACCAAAAAAAUAAAAAAUGAAAUUUCUAUCCAUCAUUCAACCAAAAAAAUAAAAAAUUGAUGUUCAUCAAUGGUUAAUGGAAGAAACAUAUUCGAGGCUACCAUCCCGAGAUAAAUGUAAAUGGUAUAAAUAUAUAUGAUGGAGAUUGUUUAUGUUCAUAGUUUAUCUUCAUAGAAGUUUGUUCAACGUGUAUGUGUAAACACAUGGAAAGGACAAAUACAUAAAAUAUGACUUGAUGAUGAUACCAUCAUACCAUGCUCACGAUUUAUAGGAAAAAGGGUUUAGCAACUUAAAGAGUAAAACAUAAUCUAUAUAUCUAUCUAUCUAUAAUAAUGUUUCCUCUCUCCUGGACCUUCUUCACGUUUCUGAAACGGAGUGCGUUAUUGUUUGAGAGGGAGAAGGAGAGGAGAUUAGCUUCUCAUAGAAGUGCUCUGGUGAGGAAGGAGAGUGAGAUUUCAGAAUAGGACAGGAGGAUUCGUUAAUUGGAGACUUGAUUAUCAGAAGAGGCAGAGAGAUUGCAGGCAGCUUCUGUGGAGUUUUCAAAUUUGCAGAGAGUCAGAGGGAGGUGAAACAACGAUUUGACAUGGCUAGGAAAGAGCUAGAAUCCAUGAAGUAUCCUCCUGCUGCUAUAAAUAGCCUGAAGCUGUAGUACCACAAUCGAAGUUCAUCUACUCAGUUUCUAGGAGGCAGAGCCGCUUACGCAAGCGCCAGCACCGGCUGAGGAAUGUAAAGAGAGGCGGUGAGCUGACAUGCUCCUCCACUAAGCGCCUCUUAUGCAUGCCACCGUCGACGUCCACCGUUUGAAUACCUUCGAACACCUUUUCAAGACUGGUUCGAUGUACGCGGUGAAUGGUUGACGCGGAGAAACCUUAACUUCAAAUUGUCCAACUCUCCUUUGUCAAUAUGUUUCAGUGACUUAACCGCCUUCGCCAAAAUAACAGAACCGGUGAACCUGAUACCUCAAGUCAAGAGCUGUUCCAGUUCCGCAAUUCCGAACAGCUGCUAGGCUUGGCAAACACCAACACAUCUUCCAGGUGAAUUAACCGCUAUUAGGGAUACUGUUGAUGAAUCCUUACAAGGCAAAGAAUCAGUACGUUUUUCUUAACUUUGCUUAUAAAGAACUCUACGGUAUCAUAAAUCAAGUAUAACUACCAAAAUAUGUUAACAUCACGUAGUUUGUCUGAAAUUCGCAAUGAUGUAUCUAUUUCCUUGAGCUGCUGCCUUUCAUAAACAAUCGUCAGACUUACAUGUUGACCUUAAAGUUAUUGUUGUAACGAGAAAAAAAAAACAAAGAUUGUAGGAGUUGCUUCCUCUUUUACAAUUUCACACAAUUGACUUUCUCUUUUGUAAUUCUUUUGCCGUGCAUUAAAAUGAAAAUAUUUUUUCAUGUGAUCACAAUACGUAAAUGGCGGCCCUGGAGAUGAUGUGCCCCGAGUUAGCACCUUCCAGCCAUGAUCAAUGUCAUGGUGAUGACAAUGAAAAAGAUCCAGCUAUUGAAACAAUCUAAGGUGGUCUGUCAGCCACUAACUCUCUGUUCUCUACGUCUUCCAAGGCAAAUAAGAAGGCACACAUUGCAUAGUUGGAGAAGGAUGCAGUUUCUUAGUCAUAGACUCACAGAAGCAGCUACUAAAAUAUUGCUUAAGCAUAGUUUUUUUGUUUUUAGUAAAACUUCAUCUGCUGUUGACAGUUAUCCUUAAACUAUAAAGACUAUUGUAUUUGGAUUUCCUCAUAUUUACCCAUAUAUCAAUGAGGAAAUAACGGUGCUACAAGCAAAUCUCAUUGACGAAUAUUACAACUUAUAUGUUAUCUGUAAUAUUUGUCGACAAGGUAGCUACUAGAAUAAUGAUCAAGCCUGUUUGUUAUUUUCUUA